GAUGAACGCUGGCGGCGUGCCCAAUACAUGCAAGUCGAGCGAACGGACGAGAAGCUUGCUUCUCUGAUGUUAGCGGCGGACGGGUGAGUAACACGUGGAUAACCUACCUAUAAGACUGGGAUAACUUCGGGAAACCGGAGCUAAUACCGGAUAAUAUUUUGAACCGCAUGGUUCAAAAGUGAAAGACGGUCUUGCUGUCACUUAUAGAUGGAUCCGCGCUGCAUUAGCUAGUUGGUAAGGUAACGGCUUACCAAGGCAACGAUGCAUAGCCGACCUGAGAGGGUGAUCGGCCACACUGGAACUGAGACACGGUCCAGACUCCUACGGGAGGCAGCAGUAGGGAAUCUUCCGCAAUGGGCGAAAGCCUGACGGAGCAACGCCGCGUGAGUGAUGAAGGUCUUCGGAUCGUAAAGCUCUGUUAUUAGGGAAGAACAUAUGUGUAAGUAACUGUGCACAUCUUGACGGUACCUAAUCAGAAAGCCACGGCUAACUACGUG
RNAcentral lists this ribosomal RNA (497 nucleotides) under uncultured bacterium. Its description in RNAcentral is "partial 16S ribosomal RNA". It matches the Rfam family "Bacterial small subunit ribosomal RNA", at positions 28 to 507 of the family's 1533-position model. The record is from RNAcentral.